CCUACGGGAGGCUGCAGUGAGGAAUAUUGGUCAAUGGACGAGAGUCUGAACCAGCCAAGUAGCGUGAAGGAUGACUGCCCUAUGGGUUGUAAACUUCUUUUAUAAAGGAAUAAAACGAGGCACGUGUGCCUUUUUGCAUGUACUUUAUGAAUAAGGAUCGGCUAACUCCGUGCCAGCAGCCGCGGUAAUACGGAGGAUCCGAGCGUUAUCCGGAUUUCUUGGGUUUAAAGGGAGCGUAGAUGGGUUGUUAAGUCAGUUGUGAAAGUGUGCGGCUCAACCGUAAAAUUGCAAUUGAUACUGGCAGUCUUGAGUACAGUUGAGGUAGGCGGAAUUCGUGGUGUAGCGGUGAAAUGCUCAGAUAUCACGAAGAACCCCGAUUGCGAAGGCAGCUUACUAAACUGUGACUGACAUUGAUGCUCGAAAGUGUGGGUAUCAAACAGGAUUAGAUACCCUUGUAGUC
RNAcentral lists this ribosomal RNA (460 nucleotides) under uncultured bacterium. RNAcentral describes it as "partial 16S ribosomal RNA". It matches the Rfam family "Bacterial small subunit ribosomal RNA", at positions 338 to 795 of the family's 1533-position model. The record is from RNAcentral.